This 498-nucleotide ribosomal RNA is filed under the name uncultured bacterium. RNAcentral's name for it is "partial 16S ribosomal RNA". It matches the Rfam family "Bacterial small subunit ribosomal RNA", at positions 28 to 507 of the family's 1533-position model. The record is from RNAcentral.
GACGAACGCUGGCGGCGUGCCUAAUACAUGCAAGUCGAACGAGAGCGACCGGUGCUUGCACUGGUCAAUCUAGUGGCGAACGGGUGAGUAACACGUGGGUAACCUGCCCAUCAGAGGGGGAUAACAUCCGGAAACGGAUGCUAAAACCGCAUAGGUCUUCGAGCCGCAUGGCUUGAAGAGGAAAAGAGGCGCAAGCUUCUGCUGAUGGAUGGACCCGCGGUGCAUUAGCUAGUUGGUGAGGUAACGGCUCACCAAGGCCGUGAUGCAUAGCCGACCUGAGAGGGUGAUCGGCCACAUUGGGACUGAGACACGGCCCAAACUCCUACGGGAGGCAGCAGUAGGGAAUCUUCCGCAAUGGACGAAAGUCUGACGGAGCAACGCCGCGUGAGUGAAGAAGGUUUUCGGAUCGUAAAACUCUGUUGUUAGAGAAGAACAAGUGCUAGAGUAACUGUUAGCGCCUUGACGGUAUCUAACCAGAAAGCCACGGCUAACUACGUG